UGGCAGCCGAUGAAGUUGACUGCGCUCUUUUCCCCGAUGGGGGGGCCCUGUGCGCAACGGCUGCAAAGAGCAGCCCCCUGGGUAUAGUGUGUGCAGCCUGUUGCCUGUAUGGGUUGCCCUAAGGGACCUUGGAGACAGCC
Molecule: small nucleolar RNA, 140 nt
Organism: Kogia breviceps (pygmy sperm whale)
Lineage: Eukaryota; Metazoa; Chordata; Mammalia; Artiodactyla; Physeteridae
Product: small nucleolar RNA SNORA70
Exons: 1
Source: RefSeq, a predicted model, not a curated record